UUUCCGUAGGUGAACCUGCGGAAGGAUCAUUAUUGAAUAUUCUUGAUGGGUUGUAGCUGGCUCUCCGGAGUAUGUGCACACUUAUCUUGACUUUAUUCAUCUACCUGUGCACCUUUUGUAGUCUUGGGGGUUGAAAGCAGUCGACUAUCGGAUGGCUAUAAUAGGCCUUUCCGGACGUGAGGAAUGCUGAGUGCGAAAGCAUACAGCUCUUCUCAAAUGACUACUCCUCUCCUUCAAGUACUAUGUAUUCAUAUACCACAUAGUAUGUCGUAGAAUGUGAUCAAUGGGAUGAUCAUAUACAACUUUCAGCAACGGAUCUCUUGGCUCUC
Molecule: unclassified non-coding RNA, 329 nt
Filed under: plant metagenome
Description: partial contains small subunit ribosomal RNA, internal transcribed spacer 1, and 5.8S ribosomal RNA
Source: RNAcentral